GGAAAAGCAGGUGCUCGCGCAUUCGCGCUUAGAGCACGCUGCUUCAAGGGGAAAUCAUGACACUCGAUGACUUUGCUUAGAUCCGGUAAAGCGGAUUUAGACUUGUCCGUGGCCAGAAAUAAAGAAAUGAUUGCUGGUGACUUUCUGAGAAAAGCUCACCGACUCACCAACAGCUGCGUGGAAAUGGGAAAGUGCGUCGGCCAGCUGUCCGCCAGCCAGGAGCUUCUUCCCCAUCUCCAGGUGUAGGAAUAUGAAGGCUUGGCUACAAUGAUGUUUAAAGAAGAUAACCACAGCGCAGGACAUGGUUUCCUCACAUGCAUAUGAUAAAAUCAGCUGCUGAUUUGGUCCUUUUAAUGUGUUCUCACUGAACAUGAGACUAGUUAAGCAAUGAAGGCAAUACAUCCCAGACCAUAAUAUUUUCUGGACACGUCUUGGACACACUUUAUUUGAACUUCCAAUACACCAGGCACAAGAACGGUUUCUUUCCAGAGGCCUUCAUUCAUGGCCCUUAAAGAGUAUUCUUAAUCUUCAAUACAAUGUCACUGUGACCUGUGAUAUACAUAUCAGUUAUUGUAUAAACGAUUACAAUUAUUUAUUAUACAUAUUUUUUGCAUUUAGCAAUUUCAUUCUUUACAUAUAAGUCAUAUAUUACAAGGAACAACUCCAAUUUAUUGUUGUUGUUUUGUUGUGUUUAUCUAGGCUAGUUAAUAUUAACUAUGUAAACACAACAAAACAACAACAACCAUAAAUUGGUUAUAGAUAUUGCGAUAAAUUAGGUCACAAUACACUUUUCUAUGAUGUUGUAGGUAAGGUGAUAUCCAUCCAUCCAUCCAUCUUCAAUACCACUUAUCCUUCAGGGUCACGGGGAACCUGGCGCCUAUCCCAGGGAGCAUCGGGCACAAGUAUAUCCUGGACAGGCCAAUCCAUUACGGCACAAUCACAUACACACUCGCACACCCAUUCAUACACUACGGACACUUUUAGACAUGCCAAUCAGCCUACCAUGCAUGUCUUUGGACUGGGGGAGGAAACCGGAGUACCCGGAGGAAACCCCCACAGCACGGGGAGAACAUGAAUACUCCGCACACACAGGGCCGCAGUGGGAAUCGAGCCCCCGACCCUGGAGUGAGGCGAACGUGCUAACCGUUAAGCCACCAUCCAUCUGGUAUUGUGAUAUCUUUUUUUAGUAAUUACAAAAUAAAUAGAAUUGAAUGGAAGCAGCUAAUUAUAUGUAAAUUUGCUGGGUUUUUAAAAAGCCUAAUCUUUCAAAUAUCUCCCUCCUUUUUAAAAAAAACUAAUUUUCAGUGUUAGAAUUUAGUUUUUAAAUGUUAAAUGUAAAUUUAAAGUAAAUGUAAUGUACUUUAAAUCUAUUAAUUUAUUUUACAUCCCCCCCCCUCUGUUUACACGUUUUCACAUCACGGCUACUUUGGUGACAGUUUGUUAGCUAAAUUAUAUAGCAUGAUACAUAUCCCUGCUUGAGUGUGCGGGCAUACUUGGCCAAUAAAACUGAUCCUGAAUCUGAUUCAGAAAAAUGGCAGUGAUCCGUACGGAAGCCGAAGGAAUCGACUCUUAUUGAAGAGCUGAGCCAAAGGAUUCGGUUCACUUAAAAGAGCCAGUGCUUUCCGUCACUGAAGGACGUGAAGUGCGCGGUGAAAAAGCAUCAUAAUGGACGCUACAGUGGCAUAGGGUGAGGUUGUGGGGAGGCUGCCCCAUGUGCUCUUCUGUGUGGAGUGUCUCUGCUCUCUGGAGUGUCCUCAGGACUCCAACUCUGUCCCCUCAGUCAGCUGUCCCGAGUGUACAGUGAGCACUGUUCACAACUCCUGUCCAUGCAGCCAUCACUCCCUUACUGCGCUACAGCAUGUCAACCAGCUUUCACAACUCUUUUUAGGGAAAGUAGCUAAAGCAUGCUCAAUUUGUCACCAGAUGACACCAUAGACUAAUUUUUUCUAAUUACUUAUGAUAUGGCAAUGAAUAUUACUAACUAGUUUUAAAAAAGAAAGCGAGGCAGAUAGGGUGCUGAUACUUGUAGAGUUGCAUAGAUAUAUCAUGAACAUGCACAUUUUUUAACGUGUUUACAAAUGAAGAAGGCAGGCAAAGUCGUGAAAGGUGAGUAGUCUGAAGGAAAUGGUUACUCGUUUGUAAGUAUCAACAAGAAAAGUGUUUAAAAUGAAGAACUAUGGGACAGUAAAGUUAUUAAAACAUAACUUUCUCAGAAUUACUAAGUAGAUAACACUAGUUGGUCAUUACUACACCCCAUAACGUUAGAUACGUGUGUCUGAGUUUAGUAUUUAUGCAGACCUUUUAUUUAUUUUUUUAUGCCUCCACCACUAAGUCUGUCCAUCCGUCUAAGGUUCUCGUUAAUGCAAUAUCUCAAGAACCAGUGGUUGAAUGUUUGUAGGAAUUCUAUAGACUAUAUAGUUGUUGUAACUAGCAGAUAACUCGAUUAUUAUUUGGAAUUGAUCCAAAAAUAAACGAGGUCACAGCAGUUUCAUGUUUAGGAACUCAAGGCCCUUUAUUGUUUUUUUUGGCUAGCUACGGUUUUGCCAUCAUUCCAUGCUUCUGUGCGUCCUUGCUUUUGCAUGAGAUUCUUGUUUAGUGUGACAUCUCAAGAACGAAAGGUUGAAUGUUUUAUAGUGUAGCAGCAGCGGCAGGUGGAACACAGACAGAGUGAGACUGGUUAAGAGAGCUUUUAUUUUGUAGAAUGGGAGUGCAGAAGGGCCAUGGGACACUCUGUCCUGGGGCAGCAGUCUGUGAGGGAGGUGUUAGAGAGGAGUGUGGUCGCUAUGGGCCAGGAAGAGCGGUGUAGGCCGGUAGCAGAGUGCGGAGGAAGCGUUGGUAGUGGGGAUGAGGGCUCUUGGGGGGAGAGACUUGCUGUCGUCAUCGUCAUCUGCAAGACAUAGAACAGAAUUGAUCAGCAUAGACACCUAGACAAAAGCUGCUCAAGCUGCUGAGGUUGUGAUGCCUUUUUAUCCUCUCCAGUCUUCUCUGAGAGGGUGAGGAGUUGCAGUGUUUAUCUGCCGCAAGUUGUGCUCUAUUUCCCCACCUCAUGCUCUGCUGCAGUCGACAACAGUGAUGCUGAAAUGACUGUCUGUUCAGCACCUGGGUGGCAGGAGUGUGAGGAGCGUUUUUCACCUCUUCAACAGGUUCACGUGGUACCUGUACGUUUCUGCUCGCUUACAGGCUGCUGAAGACGUUAUUGUCAGCUGCUGGAGGCUGGCCUCCAUUAGUUGCUGCAGCAUGGAAUCCAUGUUUUUAUUUUUAAAUUUUUUAUUAUCAUUAUAUAUUUUUUCCUUUAUUUUUUAUUUGGCCGGGUCUGUGCUCAUUCCCACAUUCUUCACCAGACUUACAAAUGAGAAAAUACAAAAUGCAAGCAAAGCAGUAUAUCAAGCAGAGAACACUGCAUGUAGUGCUACAAUAGAAGAUUUUUAAUUGAGUUCUAGAAGAUGCAAAAAUGUAAUCAGCCCUGAGAUUCUAACCAGUGACCUUGGCGUUCUUAACACCACGCACUAACUAGCUGAGCUACAUUGCCAUAUAUAUAAUAUAUCAUAAUAGUUUCGAAGAGAAUUUUUAAGCGAAUAUUUUUAAGUGUCCAAAAUUAUAUGGACAACGCUCCGUGCAGCGGGGAAAGCACUCAGACAUAGCCCGGGGAGGGAGCAUCAUGUCGCACAGACUCUGGCCAGCUCCAGGCCGAUCAUCGCUAAUUUUUUCCCUGGGCGUUGAAGAGUUACCAUUGAUGAAAUUGUUACUUUACAUUUAUUUGGUAAAAAGCUUAGACUUUUCUGGAACAUUUGGCCGUUAGGGGCGAUGAAGAGUUCCCGGAUAGCAAGCACAUUUGGGCCGAUUCUGGUAGAAAUGCGCCCCUGUCGGCUCAAUGCCGGUAUCGGUGAAAAGGUAAUUGCCCAGAGCCCUGCUGACCGUUCACACCACUUCUCGCUGACAGACGGUUUUUGCUAUGUGGGCCAAUCUCGGCUGAAAGCAGGUGUACUUGCGGCAGGUCCAUACUCGGUGUAGCGGUGUGUAUCUGCUUUUUCGAGUUCAUUAAGUCACAGACAGGCCACAGCUAAAAUUAAGGAGCUCAGCAGCCUGGAAAAAACUUUUGACGGUUAAAUCAGUUAGGAUACUCGAGGCUGCAGUCAUUCUUCGUUUUCAAGAGGAAUCAUUUCAGCUGAAGAAGACAGCGAUAAAGAGGGCAGGACCCGGUCAGACCUCCAGUCAGACGUGGAAGUGUCUGGGUAAAGACCACCAAGGUGUAAAACAUGCAGAUAUUUGUUCAGCACAUCGCUAUUGCUAUUCCCUCAUGCUUUGAGAGCAUAUUCAAAGUUGUAUUUUUCAUGAAACAUUGUAGAAUUUGGCAAUAUAGUCAAUAUUUUAGACUCUUUCACAGAGUCUGGAAAGAGUGGAGGAUAUGCCAUGUGAGCGUAUUCUUCUGCUUUCUGAUUGACUUUCUUUUGUAGGUAUUAAUUAACCAUGAUUUCCACUCAGCCAUCUUACUGGAAUUGUGUAGGUUAGGAAUAAGACUGAGGAUGGAGUUGUACAGUUUUGUAGUGUGUAUCAUUUGUAAAUAUUGUUAACUUCUUUACCAUAGCCAUGCUGAGGGAGGUGUUGACUAAAUUAGAGAUGGUGCUGGACCAACAAACCACUGAGAUUGCUUCAACUACAGGAGGUCCAGGUGCAGCCUUUGGAUAUUGAUGAAGAUUUACUGCCCUGCAAGACCUUCCUCAACUGCAUAGUCUGGAGCGAAGGAUGCAACAGAGCCCAGAUUACAAGCAAAAUCUGUUCAUAGAAACCUCUUUACGGCUAAUGCUGCAGAGAUGGAGGCCGAGGGGACCAUGAAGAGGUGGCUCCAGCUGGCAUCAGAUCAAGAGUGUGGGUGCAAGAGAAGUCUUUUGCAAAAGGAAGCUGGGUGGGUACACAGUUGCGGUCGGAAGUUUACAUACCCCUUGCUGAAUCUACAAAAUAUUAAUGCUCUUAACAAAAUAAGAUUGAUCCUGUGCAAUCGUUGGGAACUCCAUUGUGCGAAACGUCCGCGUCGCUUCAACAAGGGGUAAGGUGCACACACAGUUUUUCUUUUGCUUGUGUCCUUGAUGUCGCUGAGCAGCUACCAGGAAUCCUGAAGAAGGACGAGUGCAUUGGAGCAGUCGUGCUGCACGUGGGGGCAAACAUCAGGCUGAGGCAGACGGAGGUUCUGAAGAGGAACUUCGCCAGCCUGAUCGAGACGGUACGAGGCAGAUCACUAACCGCGAAGAUCAUCGUCUCUGGACCUCUUCCCUCAUACAGAUGUGGAGCUGAAAAGUUCAGUAGACUUCUAGCACUAAAUGAUUGGUUAGUUUCUUGGUGUAAUUAACAGGAAUCUGCUGUUUGUUAAUAACUGGAAUCUGUUCUGGGAGCGUCCUAGGUUGUUUCAUCCUGAUGGCCUGCACUCCAGCAGCUUCGGAGCGGAACUGCUGUCAGACAACAUCUCCAAGACACUACAAACCAAGUGACUGCCUACCGUCAAAUUAUUCGUAAACAUGGAAUGAAUUUCCACUGUUAUGCUGAUGAUACAGAGCUGCAUGUUUGCAACUGAACAAGAACAACAAUAAACAACAACUGAAGAAUAGCGAAAAACUUCAACUGUUUUCGUGCUUACUUGAAGACGAUGAGGCAGAGCAGCAUCGGAGAGACAGUUCGCUCCAUUCUCCAAAGAAUCGGGGAGAACAGUCUGUGGUGUAUGUUUUUGUUGAAAGUGUCAAAAGGUGGGAAGCUGGCUUUGACUGAUCAGGAUGAAGUGUGUCGCCUUGUACACUAUAUUGCCGAACAAGCACAUGGACGUGAAUAUACUGUUGCCGGUUGCAGAGAGGCCAUCAGCAGCUACCUAAAAAAUGCCCCAGGCAGGAAAAGUGGCAAGAAACAUAUUAUGAGUGUUUAUGAUGAAGCAGAGCUACAUGGGAUCUCUAGUGCGUCCUGCAAGAAUUGGGCCUUAGUCCAGUUCAGAUUCAAUUUUGUAAUCUCAUUCCUCUCCCUCGCGUGACAGCCUCCAAACAGUACAAUUCUAAUGAGCUUGAAUAUACGGGGAAUUCCAUUGGGUUUGAUGUCUGACUAAUUAAAGACCCACCUCUUCUAUGAACACCUAACCAACUCAUAAUAAAAAAUUUUUAAAAAAAAUGCACUUACACCUCUAGUCUGCACUUUGCUUCUUCUAGAAUUCAAUGAAUAGAUCUUGUAUGGUAGCUGCUCUUGUAUUGUUCUCUGCUUGAUAUAUCGCUUUGCUUGUAUCUUUCUUAUUUGUAAGUCGCUUUGGAUAAAAGCGUCUGCUAAGUGAAUAAAUGUAAUGCAAAUGUAGUAAAUUGUUUUCUUUGAUUAGCAAUACAUAGGUACUAUAUCUGGCUGUUUUCUGUGUUACAAUAUUGAAUGUCAUUUUUCAGCUAUUCACUUUGUCUGCAUUUACUAAAAUUCAUGCAUGUUUAUUAAAA
Long non-coding RNA from Ictalurus punctatus (channel catfish), 6452 nucleotides. RefSeq lists it as uncharacterized. The record is from RefSeq and is a predicted model, not a curated record. Lineage: Eukaryota; Metazoa; Chordata; Actinopteri; Siluriformes; Ictaluridae. The transcript is spliced from 11 exons.